UUACGGCCAUGUCACGUUGAAACACCGAUUCUCGUACGACCACUGAAGUUAAGCCACGUCGAUCCUGAUCAGUGUCUAGCUGGGUGAUCUCUUGGGAAUAUUCGGCGCUGUCAG
Non-coding RNA from Acanthosepion pharaonis, 114 nucleotides. The record is from the annotation of a GenBank genome assembly. NCBI's taxonomy places the organism in Eukaryota, Metazoa, Mollusca, Cephalopoda, Sepiida, Sepiidae.